RNAcentral lists this ribosomal RNA (301 nucleotides) under uncultured bacterium. RNAcentral's name for it is "partial 16S ribosomal RNA". It matches the Rfam family "Bacterial small subunit ribosomal RNA", at positions 509 to 807 of the family's 1533-position model. The record is from RNAcentral.
CAGUCGCCGCGGUAAUACAGAGGAUGCAAGCGUUAUCCGGAAUGAUUGGGCGUAAAGCGUCUGUAGGUGGCUUUUCAAGUCCGCCGUCAAACCCUAGGGCUCAACCCUGGACAGGCGGUGGAAACUACCAAGCUGGAGUAUGGUAGGGGCAGAGGGAAUUUCCAGUGGAGUGGUGAAAUGCGUUGAGAUCGAAAAGAACACCAACGAUGAAAGCACUCUGCUGGGCCGACACUGACACUGAGAGACGAAAGCUAGGGGAGCAAAUGGGAUUAGAUACCCCCGUAGUCCCUGUCUCUUAUAC